UGGUGGGUAGUUUGACUGGGGCGGUCUCCUCCUAAAGAGUAACGGAGGAGCACGAAGGUUGGCUAAUCCUGGUCGGACAUCAGGAGGUUAGUGCAAUGGCAUAAGCCAGCUUGACUGCGAGCGUGACGGCGCGAGCAGGUGCGAAAGCAGGUCAUAGUGAUCCGGUGGUUCUGAAUGGAAGGGCCAUCGCUCAACGGAUAAAAGGUACUCCGGGGAUAACAGGCUGAUACCGCCCAAGAGUUCAUAUCGACGGCGGUGUUUGGCACCUCGAUGUCGGCUCAUCACAUCCUGGGGCUGAAGUAGGUCCCAAGGGUAUGGCUGUUCGCCAUUUAAAGUGGUACGCGAGCUGGGUUUAGAACGUCGUGAGACAGUUCGGUCCCUAUCUGCCGUGGGCGCUGGAGAACUGAGGGGGGCUGCUCCUAGUACGAGAGGACCGGAGUGGACGCAUCACUGGUGUUCGGGUUGUCAUGCCAAUGGCACUGCCCGGUAGCUAAAUGCGGAAGAGAUAAGUGCUGAAAGCAUCUAAGCACGAAACUUGCCCCGAGAUGAGUUCUCCCUGACUCCUUGAG
This 569-nucleotide ribosomal RNA is filed under the name Escherichia coli. RNAcentral's name for it is "partial 23S ribosomal RNA". It matches the Rfam family "Bacterial large subunit ribosomal RNA", at positions 2259 to 2825 of the family's 2925-position model. RNAcentral also lists the same sequence under 1 other name. Lineage: Bacteria; Pseudomonadati; Pseudomonadota; Gammaproteobacteria; Enterobacterales; Enterobacteriaceae. The record is from RNAcentral.